This 319-nucleotide long non-coding RNA is filed under the name Homo sapiens (human). RNAcentral describes it as "LHRI_LNC1039.1". Lineage: Eukaryota; Metazoa; Chordata; Mammalia; Primates; Hominidae. The record is from RNAcentral.
CAAAACUAGACAGAAUCAUUCCCACAAACUGCGUUGUGAUGUGUUCGUUCAACUCACAGAGUUUAACCUUUCUUUUCAUAGAGCAGUUAGGAAACACUCUGUUUGUAAAGUCUGUAAGUGGAUAUUCUGACAUCUUGUGGCCUUCGUUGGAAACGGGAUUUCUUCAUAUUCUGCUAGACAGAAGAAUUCUCAGUAACUUCCUUGUGUUGUGUGUAUUCAACUCACAGAGUUGAACGAUCCUUUACACAGAGCAGACUUGAAACACUCUUUUUGUGGAAUUUGCAAAUGGAGAUUUCAGCCGCUUUGAGGUCAAUGGUAG